This 466-nucleotide ribosomal RNA is filed under the name uncultured bacterium. RNAcentral's name for it is "partial 16S ribosomal RNA". It matches the Rfam family "Bacterial small subunit ribosomal RNA", at positions 29 to 506 of the family's 1533-position model. The record is from RNAcentral.
ACGAACGCUGGCGGCGUGCUUAACACAUGCAAGUCGAACGGAAAGGCCCUGCUUUUGUGGGGUGCUCGAGUGGCGAACGGGUGAGUAACACGUGAGUAACCUGCCCUUGACUUUGGGAUAACUUCAGGAAACUGGGGCUAAUACCGGAUAGGAGCUCCUGCUGCAUGGUGGGGGUUGGAAAGUUUCGGCGGUUGGGGAUGGACUCGCGGCUUAUCAGCUUGUUGGUGGGGUAGUGGCUUACCAAGGCUUUGACGGGUAGCCGGCCUGAGAGGGUGACCGGCCACAUUGGGACUGAGAUACGGCCCAGACUCCUACGGGAGGCAGCAGUGGGGAAUAUUGCACGAUGGGCGGAAGCCUGAUGCAGCAACGCCGCGUGCGGGAUGACGGCCUUCGGGUUGUAAACCGCUUUCGCCUGUGACGAAGCGUGAGUGACGGUAAUGGGUAAAGAAGCACCGGCUAACUACGU